RNAcentral lists this ribosomal RNA (804 nucleotides) under uncultured bacterium. RNAcentral's name for it is "bacterial SSU rRNA". It matches the Rfam family "Bacterial small subunit ribosomal RNA", at positions 62 to 895 of the family's 1533-position model. The record is from RNAcentral.
UCGCACGAGAAAGGGGAGCAAUCCCUGAGUACAGUGGCGCACGGGUGAGUAACACGUGAAUGAUCUACCUCCGAGUGGGGAAUAACUGAGAGAAAUCUUAGCUAAUACCGCAUAACACUUACGAGUCAAAGCAGCAAUGCGCUUGGAGAGGAGUUCGCGGCCGAUUAGUUAGUUGGCGGGGUAAUGGCCCACCAAGACGAUGAUCGGUAUCCGGCCUGAGAGGGCGCACGGACACACUGGAACUGAAACACGGUCCAGACUCCUACGGGAGGCAGCAGUGGGGAAUUUUGCGCAAUGGGGGAAACCCUGACGCAGCAACGCCGCGUGGAGGAUGAAAUAUCUUGGUAUGUAAACUCCUUUCGAUGGGGAAGAUUAUGACGGUACCCAUAGAAGAAGCCCCGGCUAACUUCGUGCCAGCAGCCGCGGUAAUACGAGGGGGGCAAGCGUUGUUCGGAUUUAUUGGGCGUAAAGGGUGCGUAGGCGGUUUGGCAAGUCUGAUGUGAAAUCUAUGGGCUCAACCCAUAGUCUGCAUCAGAAACUGCCGGGCUUGAGUAUGGGAGAGGUGAGUGGAAUUUCCGGUGUAGCGGUGAAAUGCGUAGAUAUCGGAAGGAACACCUGUGGCGAAAGCGGCUCACUGGACCAUAACUGACGCUGAUGCACGAAAGCUAGGGGAGCAAACAGGAUUAGAUACCCUGGUAGUCCUAGCCCUAAACGAUGAUUUGCUUGGGUGUGGCAGGUACCCAAUCCUGCCGUGCCGAAGCUAACGCGAUAAGCAUCCGGCUUGGGGAGUACGGUCGCAAGGCU